RNAcentral lists this ribosomal RNA (253 nucleotides) under uncultured bacterium. RNAcentral's name for it is "partial 16S ribosomal RNA". It matches the Rfam family "Bacterial small subunit ribosomal RNA", at positions 524 to 776 of the family's 1533-position model. The record is from RNAcentral.
UACGUAGGGCGCAAGCGUUGUCCGGAAUUAUUGGGCGUAAAGAGCUCGUAGGUGGCUUGUCACGUCGGGUGUGAAAGCUUGGGGCUUAACCUCGAGAUGUCAUCGGAAACCAUUUGGCUAGAGUCCGGAAGAGGAGAGUGGAAUUCCUGGUGUAGCGGUGAAAUGCGCAGAUAUCAGGAAGAACACCAAUGGCGAAGGCGGCCUUCUGGACAGUGACUGACGCUGAGACGCGAAAGCGUGGGGAGCAAACAGG